CACGCAGGCGGUCUCUUAAGUCCUUUGUGAAAGCCCGGGGCUCAACUCCGGAACUGCAGAGGAUACUGGGAGACUGGAGACAGGUAGAGGCUAGCGGAAUUCCUGGUGUAGCGGUGGAAUGCGUAGAUAUCAGGAAGAACACCUGUGGCGAAGGCGGCUAGCUGGGCCUGUUCUGACGCUCAUGUGCGAAAGCGUGGGGAGCAAACA
Molecule: ribosomal RNA, 207 nt
Filed under: uncultured bacterium
Lineage: Bacteria
Description: partial 16S ribosomal RNA
Rfam family: Bacterial small subunit ribosomal RNA
Source: RNAcentral